RNAcentral lists this long non-coding RNA (3521 nucleotides) under Musa acuminata (dwarf banana). RNAcentral's name for it is "long non-coding RNA (MACU_LNC001830)". The record is from RNAcentral. Lineage: Eukaryota; Viridiplantae; Streptophyta; Magnoliopsida; Zingiberales; Musaceae.
UUGUCAUCGGCCCCUAUUGCGUCCAAAUAUCUCGCUUCCCACCACCACCAGAACCAUCACCGAAGUGAUCGCCGACCAAGAAGAGGACCGACCACUACAUCCUGAGGCUCGAUCUUUCUGACGCCUGGACGACUGCCAGAUCCAGCUCCCCUCUGCUUCGCCCCCCUACUCGUGCAGAAUCCCAACACAGAGGUGGUAACCCGAACUUGUAUGUUAAUUGGUUGGGUCAUAAACACAAACAGUUGAUCGUCACUUGGAUGUAGGACGAUUUUUCCUCCGCGCACACGUAUUUUGGGAUCAAGCAUAAAAAAAAAACCAGAUUUUAACAUAGCACACCUAACCUUGGCCAUCUGAUUAAUUUAGAGGUAAUUAUCGUUUUUCGCAUUUGUAUCAAAAAUAUUUGCUGCGUGACUUAAAAAGGUGCUUUUCUAUACAAGAAUAUGUUUAUAAAACCCUUCAGAAGUUUGUGGAUUAGGAUAUAUUCUUGAAUAUGUAAUCGCCUAUAAAACUUUUUUCCAGCCUAUGACAAAUGUGACCGCAAUGUUUAUCUCGAGCAAUAAGAGUUGCAUGAAACUUUUUUUUCUUGAUCUACACAAAGGAUUGCUUUUUCAUUUUAGUGUGAUCUUAAUUUAGCUACCUUGGAUAAUUUGGUAGUUUCUAUUCGAGCACCAUGUAUGCUAUUCAAGUUCCUUAGAUUUUAUACUAUUGUUCUUCUAAACUUGCUUCUCUGCUUAAAGAUCGCAAAUAUAAAGCUACUGGCUUAAGUGUGGAAUAAAAUUUUACAAAUCAUGUCAGGUCAGUUUGUCUUAUGGAGUAUAAUUUUUCACUGAUAGUCUUCCUGAACAUGUAAUGUGCUUUGUCGAAAAUCAUGUUUCACCAGUCUAUUCUUAUUGUUGAAUUAGAUAUAGCUAAAGAAGUCCGCUAUAUGAAGAAUACCGUCAAGAGAAUCCGUGGACUAGGUGUGGUACUGGUGGGUCAAAAAGCCAUUGUCAAACAUUUGUUCAUAACAAAAUUAAGGCUUGUGAGGAUGUUGGGAUAAUAUCUCUGAUUGCAGAAUUUCCUGAAGAUUGUGCAGAAGACUAAGUAGUAAUGCUGUGCCAACUUUAAUCAAGAUCCAUUAGUCCAUGGUGUCCUAAUGCAGCUCUACUUUUGCUGCAAGUAAUUUCAAGAACUACACUAGAACUUCAGGUUCAGAAGGUUGCAUUUUACUUUUUCUUCGUUCGCUUUAUUUGCUCGGUAACUUAGUUUCAUCCAAAGAUAACAUUCUAAUUGCUAAGAUGUACUCCAAAGUAAGCUGACCUCACUACUUUUUUUAUUGACUUGGAAUCCAAGAUUUGCCAUGAUAUGCACCUUCCUACCAUUUUCAUUGGACAUUGUGAUCUAUGUUUAAGAGUAUAUAGGUUUCUUUUAAUUUGAAAAGCAAUACCUCAGUUGGUCAAAGCUACUUUGUUUUUUAAUGCUGGACAAGUUGCAAGCAGCACAUAGAUGAAGAGAGAAUUUUGAGUGCUGUUUGUGAAAGAACGUUGAUGGUUUCCAUCUACUAAACAUGGGGAAUCUCACUUUGAGAGGCAGAGAGAACCUCUAUUCAUCAUCAGUGCUGCAAACGCUUGAACUGAGUUGCUACUCCGUUCAGGUGCCAACCGAUGGAAACAUUGACCUUUAUUGGGCAAAGCAAUGUUGUAGGCUUACCAUCUUAUUUGAUGUUGCACGUAUAACAUAACUUUUUUAAAAAUCUCUGUAUAAACAUUUAUGUUAAUUUCAAUGAGAUUUUUUUUUAAAUAGCUUAAAUAUUUUUUGGAUAAAAGAUUAGUGUAAAUGUUGAAGUAAUAAUACAAGGAGCCCUAUGGGCGACUUGAAAAAGGAAUUCAGUCUUCUAUGAUAUUACAUGUAUUCAAUGAUUGUCUACAAAUUAAUGGAAACAUCUCAUUCACUUUUAACUUUCAUUUUUAUUACUUUGAUACUUAAUUUAAGCAUUUUUAAUCGAUUUACAAAUAACAUGCUGUCAUUAAUUAAACUGAUUUCUUUAGGUCGAUAAUAUUUAAAUUAUGAAGCAGUUGUAAAUGACAGGUUCAACAAUUGAUAUUCAUUCAUAAAAAAUAGGCCCUUGCAAGAAUGGAGAUAAAAUCAUUGAAAUAGACUAAAAUUUCAUUACAUGGAACACACUCUUUUGGUUUCAACUAACCAAAUUGUAAACGUUUAUAGUUUGUGAUUAUUGGUUUGGACCUCUGCUUGUACCUUCUCAGUUGUUCUGCAAGCCAGAAUUAGUCGUGGACAUUCCAUGAUUGUCAUCCUUUAACUUCUUUUUCUCUUCACAGCUGUAACGACAUCCAUGACGCUGGGGCUUCUCAGGAUUUUCUGGAUCACUCUCACUAGGUUCCAUAAGCAAUGCCCGAAGGCAGCGUCUUCUAAUUCUGGGCUCACGAGUUGGUUUCUGGCUUUGGAUUGGCUUGGAAGGUGUCCUUUCAGUCUCCAGGGGUUCCACUGUUCUUUUGGAAACCAAGGUUUCCUUAGUUCUUGAGAGAUUCAAAUGGACGCCUGGGUUUCUGACACUGCAGGAACUUUCAUCAACAGCUGAGUUGUUGAUGCUUUGCACAUUGUUGUUAAUGCUGGUUGUAAAUGCCCCCUUUCCACUAUGCUGCCACUUUUCUUCACUGCAACUGCCUCUUGCAUCAACCUUCUCCUUGUUGAGCUUUUGAUCCUUGUGGGCAUGGUAGAAAUUCUCUCUAUCGGUACCCUCAUAACCUAUAAUCAUGGAUGCUCCACUGCUAUUGCCAGCCAAAGUAAGUACAUUUGUCGAUAGUCCAUUCCUCACCCCACCAGAAUAUCCAGUACCUAUCUUCUGUAACAGUUUAGAAAGCCCUUCCUUGAUCUCCCCCUUGAACAUGGCUCUCUUGCCAUCAUAGAAUGAAUCUUGUGAGAUACUUGAAAUUGCAAUUUUCUGUUCCUCUCUGGUGGAACCAUCUUUUGUAUGCUCGGCAGUAUCGGUAUCCUUCCUGUGUUCUGCAUUUGAGUUAAUGGAUAGUGAGACUAAUCCACUUUGUGUGGGGGAUGUGAUCAGGCUGUUCUCAGAUGUCGUGCUGAGUUGCUUGACUUCUCCCUGUUCCUUCGACUUGUUGCGUUCUCCAGUGAAGGGCUUCUCUUCUGUGUCUGGUGUUGUCCUAAGCUUGCCUCUAUUAGUCCCUUCAGGUGUUGAAUAUGAAUUUGGGGCUUUGGUGGGAUCCUUAGGGUGGUUUGUUGUUAACUUUAGUUUAUGCUUCUCUUCUGCAGUUUGUUUGUUUGUAUCUUCCAACUUUCGAGAUUGAGAAGGCUCGUUUUCUUCUAAUUUAAUCUUCUCUCUUUGUUCUUUAGGUGUUGACGGCUGGGGUACAGAGAUGGAGUACGAUUCUAGAGGUUUAUUCUCCAGCGAAUUGGUUGAUACAAGCGGCAAAUUUGGUUCCUGCAAAAUGUGGUUUCUUGUCGGCUUAGGAUUUGAAUCUUUUGCAAGAGGGAUAGCACGGGCCUGAGAUUUAGGAUGCAAUAUG